Molecule: RNA transcript, 524 nt
Organism: Cydia strobilella
Lineage: Eukaryota; Metazoa; Arthropoda; Insecta; Lepidoptera; Tortricidae
Gene name: histidine-rich glycoprotein-like
Exons: 2
Source: RefSeq, a predicted model, not a curated record
AGAAAAUCGAUACCCUGCCUAUCAUUCAGCAACUAAACGCGAAGAAAGUAAUUUGUUCCCGUGAAUUUUUUUACUCGUGACUAAUCAACAAUUUAAAGCGAUGCCGCCGCCUCACGCAAUGCCCUGUGGGCCGCAUUGCGGUACUUACUGCGCGCCGCACUGCUAUCACCACCGACCGCCACCGCCGCCGCCAUUCCACCACCAUCCGCCGCCGCCACAUCAUCACCAUCCACCGCCGCCACCUCAUCACCACCCUCCCCCACCGCAUCAUCAUCACCCGCCGCCGCCACCGUUCCACCACCCACCGCACCACCACGGGCCGCCGCCUCACUGGCGAUAGACUGUUUUGAAAAGAUCUUCAAGCUGUGAUAAAUGAUAAUGUUGAAUCAAUCAUUAAUUUCGAAGAGUUCUUUAGUGUGAUUUUAAAUUGCUUUCCGUUUUUAAACUUUAUUGUGCUUCUUGAACAUUGAAGUGGAUUCUGUUACUGUGUUAUUUUAUUAUUUGUUGUAUUAAACGAUUUUCCA